GAUGAACGCUGGCGGCGUGCCUAAUACAUGCAAGUCGAGCGAACAGACGAGGAGCUUGCUCCUCUGACGUUAGCGGCGGACGGGUGAGUAACACGUGGAUAACCUACCUAUAAGACUGGGAUAACUUCGGGAAACCGGAGCUAAUACCGGAUAAUAUAUUGAACCGCAUGGUUCAAUAGUGAAAGACGGUUUUGCUGUCACUUAUAGAUGGAUCCGAGCCGCAUUAGCUGGUUGGUAAGGUAACGGCUUACCAAGGCAACGAUGCGUAGCCGACCGGAGAGGGUGAUCGGCCACACGGGAGCUGAGACACGGUCCAGACUCCUACGGGAGGCAGCAGUAGGGAAUCUUCCGCAAUGGGCGAAAGCUUGACGGAGCAACGCCGCGUGAGUGAUGAAGGUCUUCGGAUCGUAAAACUCUGUUAUUAGGGAAGAACAAAUGUGUAAGUAACUAUGCACGUCUUGACGGUACCUAAUCAGAAAGCCACGGCUAACUACGUG
RNAcentral lists this ribosomal RNA (497 nucleotides) under uncultured bacterium. RNAcentral describes it as "partial 16S ribosomal RNA". It matches the Rfam family "Bacterial small subunit ribosomal RNA", at positions 28 to 507 of the family's 1533-position model. The record is from RNAcentral.